This 433-nucleotide ribosomal RNA is filed under the name uncultured bacterium. Its description in RNAcentral is "partial 16S ribosomal RNA". It matches the Rfam family "Bacterial small subunit ribosomal RNA", at positions 29 to 507 of the family's 1533-position model. The record is from RNAcentral.
AACGAACGCUGGCGGCAUGCCUAACACAUGCAAGUCGAACGAGACCUUCGGGUCUAGUGGCGCACGGGUGCGUAACGCGUGGGAACCUGCCCUUAGGUUCGGAAUAACUCCCCGAAAGGGGUGCUAAUACCGGAUAAUGUCUUCGGACCAAAGAUUUAUCGCCUUUGGAUGGGCCCGCGUUGGAUUAGCUAGUUGGUAGGGUAAAAGCCUACCAAGGCGACGAUCCAUAGCUGGUCUGAGAGGAUGAUCAGCCACACUGGGACUGAGUCACGGCCCAGACUCGUACGGGAGGCAGCAGUGGGGAAUAUUGGACAAUGGGCGAAAGCCUGAUCCAGCAAUGCCGCGUGAGUGAUGAAGGCCUUAGGGUUGUAAAGCUCUUUUACCCGGGAUGAUAAUGACAGUACCGGGAGAAUAAGCUCCGGCUAACUCCGUG